Molecule: long non-coding RNA, 1104 nt
Filed under: Gadus morhua (Atlantic cod)
Lineage: Eukaryota; Metazoa; Chordata; Actinopteri; Gadiformes; Gadidae
Description: lncRNA (ENSGMOG00000032167.1)
Source: RNAcentral
CAAUUGAAGAGGGUCGUUUUGGCAUUGCUACUAAAAAACAACAACUGACUGUCUUACAUACACUAGACCAUGGAUGGGCAACUUUCAUGAUAAAGAGGGCCACAUUUUUCAUCAUAACCAUCGGAGGGCCACAUGACUGCACACUUCAACUAAACGUGGUGGUAUCCUGCCCCUGCGACGAUCAGCAAGCUACUUUCAGCUGUCGCCGCAUCACACCUGCAACCAUUACAGCUAUGGCAGAUAAGUUAACUAGUUCACUUGCACCUCUCUGUAACUAUAGUGGUUCUGUGGAGUGUCUUACUGAUGACCUCAACAUUGCCUUGUCUGUUACCAUUGAUUCAGUUGCUCCGCACGUAACUAAAAAACGAACAUUGAAAAAAACAGCUCCUUGGUUUAAUGCAGAAACGCGCAUUUUGAAGCGAAACUGCAGGAUCCUUGAACGUAAAUGGCGCUCGGCUAAACUUGAGGUCUUUCAUCUUGCUUGGCAUAAUAGUCUGAUCACCUAUAAGGGUGCGCUGACUAUUGCCAGGAACGCCUACUAUUCUAGUAUCAUUAAUUUGAAUAGAAAUAAUUAGAGCUGUCAGUUAAACGCGUUAUUAACGGCGUUAACGCAAACCAAAUUUAACGGUGUUAAAUUUUUUAUCGCGCGAUUAACGCAAUUAUUUUAUAAAAAAAAUAAAAAUAAAACUUUUUUUUUUUCCUUUGGCUCAAAACAAAGAAGCAGUAGCCUGACUGCUAUGUUCAAAUGACAUUUGUUCAAAGCAGUCGUUUAAUUGCACUAUAGGCUCUUUUUUUGUAUCGUCCUGUUUUGAUCAGUGUAUAUGCCAAUGUUGUUAUCAAUAAAAAAUCAUUUGCACAAGGCAAGCCGAUGCACUUCACCAUGUUGAUAAGAGAAUUAAAACGAGAAGAAUUAUGGGGAAAAAAAAUCAAGGCAUAGAAAAAUAAUUUGCGAUUAAUCGCGAUUAAUUAGAGUUAACUAUGACAUUAAUGCGAUUAAUCACGAUUAAAUAUUUUAAUCGCUUGACAGCUCUAGAAAUAAUCCUAAGUUUCUUUUUGACACGGUGAGGAGUCUCACUCAGAAACAGAAUCAGACCGUAGGCUCCU